RNAcentral lists this ribosomal RNA (446 nucleotides) under uncultured bacterium. RNAcentral's name for it is "bacterial SSU rRNA". It matches the Rfam family "Bacterial small subunit ribosomal RNA", at positions 329 to 792 of the family's 1533-position model. The record is from RNAcentral.
CGCCAGACUCCUACGGGAGGCAGCAGUGGGGAAUAUUGCACAAUGGGGGAAACCCUGAUGCAGCGACGCCGCGUGAGCGAUGAAGUAUUUCGGUAUGUAAAGCUCUCUCAGCAGGGAAGAAGAUGACGGUACCUGACUAAGAAGCCCCGGCUAACUACGUGCCAGCAGCCGCGGUAAUACGUAGGGGGCAGGCGUUAUCCGGAUUUACUGGGUGUAAAGGGAGCGUAGACGGCGAUGCAAGCCAGAUGUGAAAGCCCGGGGCUCAACCCCGGGACUGCAUUUGGAACUGUGUGGCUGGAGUGUCGGAGAGGCAGGCGGAAUUCCUAGUGUAGCGGUGAAAUGCGUAGAUAUACGGAGGAACACCAGUGGCGAAGGCGGCCUGCUGGACAUUAACUGACGCUGAGGCGCGAAAGCGUGGGGAGCAAACAGGAUUAGAUACCCCCGUA